UAAAAUGGCCGCAUGUAAAGUUG
RNAcentral lists this non-coding RNA (23 nucleotides) under Arabidopsis thaliana (thale cress). Lineage: Eukaryota; Viridiplantae; Streptophyta; Magnoliopsida; Brassicales; Brassicaceae. The record is from RNAcentral.